GAUGAACGCUGGCGGCGUGCUUAACACAUGCAAGUCGAACGGUGAAGGCGGAGCUUGCUCUUCUGGAUCAGUGGCGAACGGGUGAGUAACACGUGAGCAAUCUGCCCCUGACUCUGGGAUAAGCGCUGGAAACGGCGUCUAAUACUGGAUACGAGCUGCGAAGGCAUCUUCAGCAGCUGGAAAGAACUUCGGUCAGGGAUGAGCUCGCGGCCUAUCAGCUUGUUGGUGAGGUAACGGCUCACCAAGGCGUCGACGGGUAGCCGGCCUGAGAGGGUGACCGGCCACACUGGGACUGAGACACGGCCCAGACUCCUACGGGAGGCAGCAGUGGGGAAUAUUGCACAAUGGGCGAAAGCCUGAUGCAGCAACGCCGCGUGAGGGACGACGGCCUUCGGGUUGUAAACCUCUUUUAGCAGGGAAGAAGCGAAAGUGACGGUACCUGCAGAAAAAGCGCCGGCUAACUACGUG
Molecule: ribosomal RNA, 468 nt
Filed under: uncultured bacterium
Lineage: Bacteria
Description: partial 16S ribosomal RNA
Rfam family: Bacterial small subunit ribosomal RNA
Source: RNAcentral